UUUUUUGUGGUUGACCUCGGAUCAGGUAGGAAUACCCGCUGAACUUAAGCAUAU
Molecule: ribosomal RNA, 54 nt
Filed under: Pestalotiopsis sydowiana
Lineage: Eukaryota; Fungi; Ascomycota; Sordariomycetes; Amphisphaeriales; Sporocadaceae
Description: partial 28S ribosomal RNA
Source: RNAcentral